Molecule: transfer RNA, 61 nt
Filed under: Loxodonta africana (African savanna elephant)
Lineage: Eukaryota; Metazoa; Chordata; Mammalia; Proboscidea; Elephantidae
Rfam family: tRNA
About the family: Transfer RNA (tRNA) molecules are approximately 80 nucleotides in length. Their secondary structure includes four short double-helical elements and three loops (D, anti-codon, and T loops).
Source: Rfam by way of RNAcentral
GUGGUGUAAAUAGUUAGCACACUUAGCUGCUAACCAAAAGAUUGGAGGUUCAAGUCCUCCC